GAGUAUUGUUGGUGGUGUAAAUAUUUGGAUUAUGUUCCUUCCAAAUGGUGGAGCUGUAAUGGAGAUCAAAUGAAGUGUGAGAUGGGUGUGAGUACAUGGCAAUUGACACUGACUUGCAUGAGUAGUAGUGAUAGUAAAAUACGGUUGUGGGCUGAAGACAAUACUCAAAAUGGGUGGAGCACUGAGAAAUAGAAGACUUCAAGCUAAAAGGCACUGGGAAAUAAAAGAUUGUCCAAGCUGUUAUGCCGUAAAUGAUGGAUAGUCGUUUAAGGAUUCUGUGUGAAAGUGUAAGAGAAAAUAGUAAAGUUCUAUCUCAUGGGAACUAACUAUUUGAAAAUUAAUGUGUAAAAGAAAAUAGUAAAGU
Long non-coding RNA from Impatiens glandulifera, 364 nucleotides. RefSeq lists it as uncharacterized. The record is from RefSeq and is a predicted model, not a curated record. NCBI's taxonomy places the organism in Eukaryota, Viridiplantae, Streptophyta, Magnoliopsida, Ericales, Balsaminaceae. The transcript is spliced from 3 exons.